GUCUUUAGUUGCUACGCAAGAGCACUCUAGAGAGACUGCCGGUGACAAACCGGAGGAAGGUGGGGAUGACGUCAAGUCCUCAUGGCCCUUAUGGGUAGGGCUUCACACGUCAUACAAUGGUGCGUACAGAGGGUUGCCAACCCGCGAGGGGGAGCUAAUCCCAGAAAACGCAUCGUAGUCCGGAUCGUAGUCUGCAACUCGACUACGUGAAGCUGGAAUCGCUAGUAAUCGCGGAUCAGCAUGCCGCGGUGAAUACGUUCCCGGGUCUUGUACACACCGCCCGUCACACCAUGGGAGUGGGUUUUGCCAGAAGUAGUUAGCCUAACCGCAAGGAGGGCGAUUACCACGGCAGGGUUCAUGACUGGGGU
This 368-nucleotide ribosomal RNA is filed under the name uncultured Cupriavidus sp. Its description in RNAcentral is "bacterial SSU rRNA". It matches the Rfam family "Bacterial small subunit ribosomal RNA", at positions 1107 to 1481 of the family's 1533-position model. Lineage: Bacteria; Pseudomonadati; Pseudomonadota; Betaproteobacteria; Burkholderiales; Burkholderiaceae. The record is from RNAcentral.